Molecule: transfer RNA, 73 nt
Filed under: Saprospirales bacterium
Lineage: Bacteria; Pseudomonadati; Bacteroidota; Saprospiria; Saprospirales
Description: tRNA-Thr
Rfam family: tRNA
About the family: Transfer RNA (tRNA) molecules are approximately 80 nucleotides in length.
Source: RNAcentral
GCAAAUGUAGCUCAGUUGGUAGAGCGGCUGAAUUGUAAUCAGCUGGUCCGGGGUUCGAGGCCUCGCAUUUGCU